AGGACGACCAGCCACACUGGGACUGAGAUACGGCCCAGACUCCUACGGGAGGCAGCAGUGGGGAAUCUUGCGCAAUGGGCGAAAGCCUGACGCAGCGACGCCGCGUGGGGGACGAAGGCCCUCGGGUUGUAAACCCCUUUCGGCAGGGACGAAGCGGUUCCGUGACGGUACCUGCAGAAGAAGCCUCGGCUAACUACGUGCCAGCAGCCGCGGUAAGACGUAGGAGGCGAGCGUUGUCCGGAUUCAUUGGGCGUAAAGAGCACGCAGGCGGUUUGGCAAGUCGGAUGUGAAAACCAGAAGCUCAACUUCUGGCCUGCAUCCGAUACUGCCCGACUAGAGGUAGGUAGGGGAGAUCGGAAUUCCUGGUGUAGCGGUGAAAUGCGCAGAUAUCAGGAGGAACACCGGUGGCGAAGGCGGAUCUCUGGGCCUUACCUGACGCUCAGGUGCGAAAGCUAGGGGAGCGAACAGGAUUAGAUACCCUGGUAGUCCUAGCCGUAAACGUUGGGUGCUAGGUGUGGGCGGACAUCAACC
Molecule: ribosomal RNA, 531 nt
Filed under: uncultured Dactylosporangium sp.
Lineage: Bacteria; Bacillati; Actinomycetota; Actinomycetes; Micromonosporales; Micromonosporaceae
Description: bacterial SSU rRNA
Rfam family: Bacterial small subunit ribosomal RNA
Source: RNAcentral